UGUCAACUUAGACAGAUAGAGGUCAGCCAUGUUUCUCCUCCCUCCUUGUUGAUAUCUCUCCCCCAUGUCAUCUCUGUAUUGUAUUAGCGUGGAGAUUCAUUGUCAUCACCAGCCACCUCUCCUCAUCUCACCGGAGCUAAUCGCAUCUCCUUUAUGGUAGCCGUGCAACAGAUCCGAGACUUAGACUUAGAUGUGGAGAAGAGCGCACGCACACGGAGCCACCACGACACGUCCGGUGCUGAUCACCACCGUCCAUCACCAUAGAGCCACCGCCAGGAUGUCACUUUAUCUGCUUGUCACACCGGAGCCACCAUGUAUGGAUUGAGACAUAGACUUGUCGUUAAGGAUCAACCACCAUUGUAUUAUGGAUGUCAUUCUUAUUAUCCGAGAAGCGUAAACGUGGGGAGAAUGACGGAGCCACCGUCUCAUUACCGCUGACCACCGAUCCACACUAUCUUGUGUUGUUAGUCACCAUAGAUGGAGCCCACGUUUCCAAAGUGUGAGAUCCACUAACGUAAUUCCAAGCCGUAAUAGCUAAGUGACCUUUUCUCUAUUCCUUGUAUCGCAAGAUACCUUUGUAGAAUGAAACCUAAUCAUAAAUUGUGCAUGGUGUAAUCUUAUGAUUUAGGUGAUACUUAAUCAACAAGUAAUUCAUGACAAAUUUCGGUCACGGUUUGUUAGGCGAGGAUAUUCGUUUUCCAAUUCAUUUCUGAUCUCUGUUAAGAUAUGGUGUGCGGGGGCCAGAGACGUUUAAGCUAGUGACGCAGAUUUUGUGUGGGCGGGGUGCAGAGACGUUUGCAUAUCUACGCAUGUCAAUUGGUGACAGCUUGUCCUGUGGAAGAGUUGUUAAAGGGUGAGGUCAUGGGUUUGAACCUCACCAACAACCUAAUUAUGGUGUUAGUGAAAACUCAUAAUGGAGGGUUUGGGGUCGGUGCCUUACAGGGUUGUGAAAUCUGGGAUCCGCAGGACGGGUUGUCACAAAAGUUUUUUUCUAAUUUUUUGUUGCUGCUAAAGUGUUUUUUGUUUUCUUCUCUUUUUCCUUAAAGUCGGGCUUUUUAUAAUAUUUAGAAAGUUUUCUCUGUAACUGCCUUAAAGUUCGAGACUAUUAGGCAGGGUAAGAUUUUAUUUUCUUCAAUAAGUUGGUUCUGUCUCA
Molecule: long non-coding RNA, 1153 nt
Organism: Raphanus sativus (radish)
Lineage: Eukaryota; Viridiplantae; Streptophyta; Magnoliopsida; Brassicales; Brassicaceae
Exons: 2
Source: RefSeq, a predicted model, not a curated record